CAGGGGCAGAGCACCUGUCAAGGGGUGGGGCUACCCUUGCAGCCCUUGACAGUUCACCAAAACUUGUUAAAAGCCCUCCAGCUGAAAUAAUUGCCCACCCCUGGGUUAGAUGAAUAUUGUUGGGGAAGAGAAGCUGAGCCAUGGUGCAGUGGCUGGCAGUGGUGGGGGGAAAGGCAGUGUGGGUGGGAAGGGAGUUGGCUGACCAGGACUAAAAGACAAUUUUCCAUGCUCAUUAGUGCUUAUUAGUGCAGUGGUUCCCAACCUUUUUUUUUUUUUUUGCCAUGACCUACUGCUGGGUGGCUCGGUGGUGGGGGCAGGGGAGCUCCCAGCACGUGGCGUGGCUCAUCCUCUGUGUCUGGCACUGCUGGCAUUGCCCUGUGACCCUCAUUUUUGUUGCGACCUGAGUUCGGGAACUGCUGAAUUAGUGGUUAAUUGGCUUUUUAACUGCUGUCCUUUAAAUUAACAGUCAACCAAAUGAGUGAGUGCAUGGGAGUGUUGGAGCAAGCAGCAAACUAGUGAGCUGCGCCUGGAUCCUCAGAGUGGUAAGGGUGUGCUUGGGUUAAACCCCCUUGUGGCUGGCUUGGGGCCAGCACCACCCCACGGGCAGCAGAGCUCAAGACGGUUGAAAGUUUGCCCACAGAGGAAAGGAGUGAAAGGGCUGAGAAUGGUGCAUCCUGAGAUGUUAGAGGAAUGAAAACAGAGUAUUUUCUAUCGCUGGAGCAGACUAACAAUACCCUGGAAUGAUCCAGGUAAAACUCUCAGUUGAAAUGGCAUAACUUUAAAGUGUUUAGAGGGUACAUACUGUGGGUUAACACCCUUUAAUGGGUGAAUGCUCCCAUUUUAAGUGUCUUUAUGAUUGUUUAAAGGUAACCUAUAGUACCACCUGUGUAAGUCAAGAGUGAAAUUUUGGUUCCAAUGAAGUCAACAGUUUUUUCCAUUGAUUUCAGGACAGCCAAGACUUCAGUACUAUACUAAUAGAGAGACUUUUUAAUUCAUAAUUUUUUUUAGGACAGAGAACUGCAAGUUAUAUACCAGUUUAACUAACUGUUUGAUUCAGAAAUUUUAUCUUUGUAUGAUACAGCCGUGUCUAAACUCAGUAUAAGGCAGGCUACAUAUUAGAUCAUUAUUUUGUGGUCAUGUACAGGGUUUCAGAACCACAAUUCAUAUAACUAAUAAUUUUCCCUUGUACCUCAUCAAUAGAAUGGCAUUUUCUAAAGAGCAAAACUUGAACAAAUAAAAUAAAUACUGUCUAAAUUCAAAGAAGAUGAGGCAUUAGAUUAGAAAAGUGUGUGUAUCUGUGAUAAAUGCUAAAUCUGAGAGGAACUUUUUUUUUUUUUUUUUUAAAGAGUAGACUGGAAGAAUAAGUAAGCACAGUAGAAUGAAAAUUAUCCUAUCUCACCAGGUCUUUAAAAUAUCAGGAAAGGAAAAUGAAAAAGAGAUACAACAGCUAAAAUCGUACCCAAUUUUUACCUGGAAUACCAUCUUCGGGGUUGAGGAGUAUUCUAAGGAAACAGAGCAAAAGGAGAAAUGACACCCAUUAACCCCAAUGGGGACAAGAUUUCACCUACAGGACUGAAUCGGCUGCUCAGUGAGGUUAGUGAAAGAAUCCCAUUGGCUCUAAGGGGCUCUGGAUUACAUUCAUAGUGGAAGAAAACCACCUCACCGGCAUGAAACGAUCUCAUGCAGUAUCCUCAUCUUGAAAAUGUGAAGGUAUUUUGGGCUGAACUCAGCCCUCUAAUUAGUACAAAUUGUAUAUAUGCCAGUACUAAAAUGGAAACAAUUUAGAUUUUGUUCAUAAAUCAUGUACAAAUAUUAUCUUUUAUUUUUAGACAUUAAUUAGACUUAGAGGAAUUCUUUUGUCACUCUACCAAUUUUUCAUAGAAAGGUAACUCUUGUUAAUACAUUAUGUCUGUAAAUAAUUCUGACAGUAGGUGAUAAAAGGACUGGAAUUGCAUUUUGAGCAAGUUCAGAAUUUUCUUUAAUUAUAAAAGUUCUAGGACUAGUUAUUGAUGUAAAAAUAAUGAGAAAAAUCUCAUCUUUGGUAGGGAAUAUAUAUUAAAUGUUCUUAAUGAAAACGUACAUGAUUUUGUACAUUGUUGGUAUUUUCGUCCCCCCUCCCCCUGCUACUUGUUGUAUGGAAGAUUAAUCUUUAUUUUAUUGAAAAAGCACACACAUUUAUUUGAACUACUUUUAUCUGAAUGUGAUAAAAUAAAAGAAGCUAGGAACAGAUUAUGUUUUCAGUUACUCUAGUGAAAUUCUGGACAAAGUCUAUUAAAUCAGUGAAGUUUUCUGGUGUGACUAAUGGCAAAAUCUGGCUCUUCUUUUGUGAAUUAGCAUUAAGUAUUUCACUGGAUAUAUGCCUGUUUAUUAUUGUUUUUCACUGGGUCAUUAACAUUAAGAAUGUCAUGUUGAUUUUUCUUUUAGCUAGAGAAAAACACCAAAAAAGAAAUAUGAUUAAAAACUUUGACAUUUUUCACACUUAAAAUUUUCAGGUUUCUAUUCCAUCAGUUAAAUGACUAUCCAAAGCCCCAUUACUCCUGCAUUACCAGAUAGGGCUCCAUUCUGCAAUCCUUAUUCCAAGAGAAGCUUGAACUAUAUAAGACCCAUCAUUACUGUUGAUCCUUUUUUCUGUUUGAAAAGUACAUUUUCUUUUUGUAGUCCUUUUAUUCUUCCAUCUUCCUACGUAACACCCCCUUUUGUUUUUAUCACCCUCUGUCUUUUGAUUCCAGAGAACAAAUCUUCAGUCUCAAAUUCUUGCUCCUAAGUUUUUUUCUGCUAUUAAGAGAUUCAGUAUUAUCUUUGUUCUUCCUAAAAGAGAGCCACGUCCCAGUAUGCUCAAUACUUUGACAAAUUCUCAUGGCACAGAUGCAUUAACAUCAGCAUUUCAGAAGACCUGGGAAAAUCUAAUAUCCUAGUUCAGAAGUGCACAUAAUAUAAAUAAAUAGAUGUUCUAUAAGCUAUCAAAUAUAGAAGAUGCUGUAUACACGGCACCUUUCAAAAUGUUUGCUGCUCUAAGUAAAUUUUAAGCUGCUGAAGUUCAAAUGGGUUUCUUAUUAUUUCUGAAAACAUGGACAAUUUGAAAAGUUUUCUUCACCCUUUUUCAAAAGUACAUAGCAACAAAUCACAAAACGUUUUAUUUAUGAUUAUGUGAUUAAACUAAUGCACUGGUUAUUGUCACUACUUCCAAGCAAUCUGGAAGAUUUGGACUCUUGCAGAGGAUGAUUUCCUUGUUAGAAGGGAAACAAAUGGAUACAGACACUGUGUAUUCUAUCCUCAUCCAUAUUUAUUUAAAUAUGUGUACUUUAAAACUGGGAUAUGAGAUAGUGAAAGCAGUGAAGAGGUUAUGGCUCAUUAGCCUGACAUGCCACCUCAAGAGUUCCAAAAACCAACUCGUUUUGAUCCUCCAGUAUUUCAUUUCCCUUCCCACUGUUUCAGGAGCUCAGGGCCAAAUUCAUUAUCUGUGUAACUUUGCUAAAUCAGUUAAAUUUCUGUCCACAGGCAUAAGAAUACACUAUGAUCCCUUGCCCCCCUUUACAUCUCCCAUCAAACCCGCUGGCCACGUCCCCACGAGUGGGAAUGUGUAGUUUUUGGUGCCUCAAAGCCUUUUGAGGCAUUAUAAAACUCACAUGGCGCUUAUGAAUCCAUUCACCGCACUGCAUAUUCACAGUGUGGAAGCAAAGUUAGAUACCAGGAAAUUGCAGUAUCUAAAAAAAUGCAGCAGAAAAAAGUGGGGCAGCGCCCAUGACUGUAGUAUGCAUUGGCAGAAACCAGAGCCAUGCCCCGGUUGCCGGCCAGGGUCCAUGCACCCAGAUCACAUGGGCCUCCUGCUCCAGAAAGCCUCCAGGGCUGCAGGUAAGGCUGCUGGGGCCAGCCCAGGUGCUGGCCCCAGCCUCCUCUACUCCACCUGGGGCAAUUUGCUGCGUGCCAAACCACACAUACUGGGGCAUGCCCAGGGACAAGCAGAACAACUAGCACUGCUAUUUGUCCCCAGGGAAACGUGCAUUCCUGCUCAUGGAGACGUACCCUUUACCACUCUUUUACACAAUUGCAGCUCUGUUGAUUGCAACCAAGUAGCUGCUAAUUUCACACUCCAAGCAGAUGAAGAAUUAGGAGACUUGCCCACAUAAUGGUUGCAAUGAAAGUCAUAAUCCCACUUUGUGCAGCUCAGCUAUCCACUGAAGCCUCCCUUGAAUUAACAUUAAAACAUCAUUUGGACUUGUCAAGAAUGGAGCCGGGCCUUAAUCCUGUAACUUGCAAGGCAAUUGGAUUGCUGGGGGAGCAGGAGCAUGCCCUUCUGGUCUGUGGCUGGUCUGAAUGCAACAUUUCACUCUCUUAAAUAAAAGAAUAAAAAAAAAUCUUUCUGAUGUUAACUGAUCAUCAAUUUUGAAGGUGUCCAUUAUUCUCACUUAAAUAUAUGUACAGUACUCAAUUAAUUCAACUUCCUACUGAGAUGGGUAUAUUUCCAGUCUCUUUUGAAUAGAACACAUCUAUCCUUUUCAGAUAUAACUGAGCAAUGAAUCCUGGGUUUCAUCUCUUUUCCUUUUUGCCAAAAUAUGACAAAUUAAGCUAAAAGUAAGCAAAGGUAGGUGAUAGACCGGUACACUAGCAAGAUAAUGGGUUUCAGAUAGACAAAAACAUUCAGAUUAUAGUAUGCAGAAGCAGAUAGUAUGGCAAUAGAAAAAGCUUUAAAACAGAGACAGGGAUUAGAAAGAAGAAAAAGUCAGAGCAAAACAUUCAAGUAAUCAGCAGUUUCUGGAAUUACCCUACAGUUCCUACUCCAACAGAAUUUCUGUUGCAGUAAAUAGGUUUCAAGUGCUCAGUCACUUUCAAGAUCAGGUCCCCUAAAACAAACAAAAAAAUUCCAUGAUUUGCCCUAUUAUUUGAUAACAUAUCAGAGAUUCUUGCUACUUAUUUGUCGUUUAGGUAAGUAAAGGAAGGAGGACAACACACUCCAAUAAUUAAAAGGAUGGAGUCAGGCAAUAAAUCUGGAGAAAACAUUGGGAAGAAGAAGAUAAAAAAAACAGCACCACACAGAAAGGGGAAGCAACACAAUCAGGCUUGGCCUAAUAGUAUAAAAGUAGCAGCACAAGGAAAAGUACAAGAAGAAAGCUAUAAUAUGUAUUACUAUCAGUCAGUCUAUAUUGUAAAUUAUUAGACUAGGUUGUGGAAAACAAUACUACUUCUAAAUGCUAGCAAAAAUAAUAGAACAUAUUACAGAAUCUGUUAUGAUGAUCAUAGCAAGAGGAUAUUUGCAUCAUUUCUCUAUGUACCCCCUACCUCAAUUUUUUUGCUUUCUACAAGUAUUCAUUUUUAAGCGAUCCCUUAUUUUGAGACAUGUUUCAUAUGAUGCUCAUUGUGUUAAUUCAUCUAGUUAUACUGUUUUGUAGUAAAAAGAUAUGCAUUUAUAAUGACAUUUUCAAACUACUUAAUAAUAGUGACAUUCUGAAAUAACUAUUUUCUGUAUGUUAUAUACAUAUAUAAGAACCAAAGGUCUAUAUUGUAUCAUACCGAUGGUCCAUUUAGCUCACCAUCCUUUCUCUGACAAUGGCAAGAGUGCAUGGUUUAGAUAGAAGGAGAGCAAUGAACCUUGUAUAACGGGAGUAAUCUAUCCCCCUGAUACUUCCUGACACCCAUCAUCAUCAGUUUAGAGAUUUCAGAGGAUACAUAUCUGACUGUUCUGUUUAAUAUCUAUUAAUGAAUUUAUCAUCCAUGAAUUUGUCUAGUCCCUUUUUGAACUUGCCUAGAUUAUCUGCUUCUACAACCUCCUGUGGUAAUGAGUUUCACAAGUUAACCAAGUACUGCACAAAAAGGUACUUUCUCUUGUUUUAAACUUGUCCCCUACUAAAUGUCAGUGGGAGCCACCUAGUUCUACUGUUCUGGGACUUGGUGAAUAGGCGUUCCCUAUUCACUUUGUCCACAUCCUUCAUGAUUUUAUAGACCUCAAUUAUAUCCACCCUCAGCCUGCUUUCCAAACUGAAGAAUCCUAGCCUUUUCAGGCUCUCCUGGUAUAGUGACUGUUCCUUAUCAUUUUGGUUCUCUAUACCUUUUUUAAUUCUACUACAUCCUUUUUGACAUGUGGAGACCAGAACUGCACACAGUACAUAUAGAUACAUUACACAGUAUGUACUUUUUAUAUUUUCUGAGCAUUAUGCAAGCUAAGAAAGUGCACUUAGAACUUAACAAAUAUAUUCUAACAUAGCAAAUAUAUGUAGUAAAGUUAUAUUAACUUAUAUUGUAAUAUAAGGCUGAUUAUAGUCACUGUUGGAAAACUGGAAAUACAGAAAUUGAGACAACUAUAUAGUUCUGUACUGCCAUUAAUUAUUUGACUUCAUUUUUCCUAGAAAGAGGAAAUGUUUUCAACUUAAUAAGCAAUUAUCAUUAUAUUAAUAUAAUACAUGUGAUCUGAUUUUCAAAGGUGCCAAGCAUCUGCAGUCCUCAGUGACUCCAGUUGGCAUUCUUGUCCUUUGUAAAUUCUGGCAUCCUGUGAAUGGUUAGGUAAGGAUCAAAUGCAGCCUAUCUAACUGAUGAUCUUCAUGAUGUACUGACAAGAAUGAAAGAGGGACCAGAGGGUCCAUGUAACAGCAAGAAUGAAAGCGGGACCAGAAGAUCUGUUUAACAGCAAACUCUUCUGGCUUAACCCAUUUUUCAGCCUCUCUCCAAUAUACCAUAAGACCUUGAAACCUUGCUUACAUAACUACACAAUGAGUUCCUAAAGAGCUACAUGCCACCUUCCCAUCCCUCCAGCACUGAUAGUUGCUGGGGUGCUUAACUGUAUAUGACAUCUGAAAUCUUUUCUCCGCAUGUGUACCAGAACCAUGGUAAAACAUCCCUCCAGCACUGAUAGUUGCUGGGGUGCUUAACUGUAUAUGACAUCUGAAAUCUUUUCUCCGCAUGUGUACCAGAACCAUGGUAAAACAUUUGCCUCAUAAACAUAACCUAAACUCAGUAAAAAAGCCAGUGGGAAGAAGAGAACUGUAAGGCUAAGGCACUAGACAGGGACUCAAGAAAUAAGGAUUCAGUUCCUGGCUUUGCCACACAGUCUUCGCAAACGCAGAGUUUCAUCAUCGGGAUGAAGGACAACACUUGAGGCAACAGAAGGUUCUGUGAGAAUUGUACAAAUUUACGAGACACCAAACACUGUCUGAGUGGGUGUCACACCAACAAAUGUUACAGCUUAACAGUUCACCUUCCUUUGAGUGUAACGGUUUAUGUAUCCUUGUGGUGCUGUGCCAGUGAAAUGAAGAGGUGGAGGGGACCAUACUCCAGAUUCCAGCAUUACAGAACAUCAAAUUUUCUCCAUAAAUAAUAUAUCAAAUGUUGAAGAUCUGGAUGAAAGAGAAAAGUUGAAGAUAUAUGGUGCAGAGUUUAAAGUUGCCAGAAAUUCAGACUCUGAACACAACUAUUAUUUUUUCUUGUCUGAUUUUACAGACAAAGACAGCUUAGUCUAUCACUGAAGUAUGAGCCUUCACUUGGGAAGUAAUCCAGGGAAAGGGGUAAUAGGACUUUAUCUUCCCUUAAGGAGCAGAAUGUUAUUGGAUCUGAUAGAUGGAUCAAUCUGUCUUUGUAUCCGUCAGCAUUUCUAAAACACCAGUUACAACAGUGUUCAGAGGUUGUCUGAUCCAAGCAGUACUGCUGGGUACAUAGUGGACCAAAUUAUGGACAGAUCCUCAGCUGAUACAAAUAAGCAAUUGGAAACUGAAGUUUGGGUUUUGUGCUUCUGUUUGUAUGGGGGGUUCUCUGAUGGCCAGUAUGUUCUGUUCUCUUCCUAAACUAGGAUAAACAUUUGUGGAAAGAAUAGUGAAUAAUGCAUCACCCGUCCUCCAAACCUCAGGUACCACCUUCAGUACCAUCCAUUCCUACUGGUGAAACUGUGCUCAGACAUACCAACAAGUACAGGUUGUUAUGCAGUUCUUUCACUUAUAUCAAAAUGCAAAUAAAUAAUAAUAGUGUAAAAUUUCAUUUUAAACACUUCUGUCAUACUUCAGCUACUUGUCCUCGAACACUUUAUAUAAGUGACUAAGCAUUAUCAUUCUUCUGUUUCACAUAAGGAAAUUGAGGCAGGGAGAUGUUAGGUGCCUCGCAUAAAGGCACACAAGUCAGCAGCACAGCCAAGAAUGUCCAGAUCCAGUGUCCUAUCUAUUGCACCAGGGGUGUCACGCUCAUCUGACUCUGGGGGGGCGCCUUGAAAUAGCAGCAGUGGCAACAUUAACUCCUCUGCUGGUACUGCCAAAGGCACCAUUGCUUGCUGUCAACCAUGGCAAGAAGCCCUACAGGCUGAAUGACCCUCCACCCCAGACUGGAUCCGGCGCACAAGCUAUCCCUCUACUUGACAAUUUGCCUCAUCUGACUAAAGCGGCAACUUUUUUCUCAUAUUUACAGAAGUUAAGGGGGUAAUAUGUUUUAUCCCUCCCAUUAAGACAGGGGUGCUCAACCCCAGUCUGCAGUCCAGAUCCGCCCGUGGAGCUAUGCCAUUCAGCCUGCAGGAGUUCCUGUGCAUCCAAAAAUCUGGUGGCAGGGGAGCAGUAGCACCAAUAGCACCUAGCACCAGCUCCCAUGCUGUCACAUUUCCAAACCUGUAGGGAGCCCCAUGGUUUGGAUAGUAUUCUGAUAGUAUAAAGUGUUCAAGUAUGCAGGGAGGCAGCAUGGAGCCCUGAUUUUGCAGUGCGGGGCCUGAUCCUGUGGUGCAGGGCUGAUCAACAUGGUGCCAGGCCUUGAUCUGGCAGUGCAGGGCCCUAACCUGGAUGCUUGGGGCUGAGCAGAGGCAAGACAAGGCCCAGUUCUGGUGAGUAGGAUCCCAUCCAGCCCACAAACAGGCCCCACACACCUCAUCCGGCCCGUGGCCCCAAAAAGUAGAGUAUCCCUGCCUUAAGAUACUAAUUGUCCUUCCUUUCUGGCCAAGUGAUAAUUCUACAAGUAUCCCUGUUGUCUUUCUCCCAUCUUACAUGUGUUAUACACACUGUAGCAUGGGUGGAACUUGGGUCUCAGAGCAUCAGCUUUUCAAAAGUAUCUAUAAGAGUUAGGUGCCCAACUUCCAUCAGUAAUAAGGGAGAGUUUGGCAUCUAAUUUAGCUGUUUUUGAAAAUCCUGUUCUCUCAGUGCAUUCACUUGCUCUGUUGCAGUGGUCUAAUCUCUCUGAAAACGUUCAUAGAUUUCAUAGACAUUAGGACUGGAAGGGACCUUGGAAGAUCUUCGGGUCCAGCCCCCUGCCCCAGGGGCAGGAAGUCAGCAGGGGUCAUAGGAUCUCAGCAAGAUAAACAUCCAAAUUUCUCUUGAAGGCGUUCAAAGUAGGUGCUUGAACCACCUCCGGCAGCAGGCUAUUCCAGACCUUGGGGGCUUGGACAGUAAAGAAGUUCUUCCUCAUGUCCAUCCUGAAACAGUCUUGGAGGAGUUUAUGACCAUUCAACCUUGUCAUCCCUUGGAGUGCUCUGGAAAACAAACGUUCUCCCAGAUCCUGGUGAGCAUCCCUGAUAAACUUACAAGCAGCCAUCAGAUCACCCCUGAGCCUGUGCUUUUCCAGGCUGAAGAGUCCCAUAGCUCUCAGCCUGUCAUUGUAAGGUCUGUUUUCCUGACCUCUGAUCAUGUGCUGGGGCUCUCCUCUGGACUCUCUCAAGCUUCUCCACAUCCUUUUUGAAUUGUGGAGCCCAAAACUGGAUACAGUACUCCAUCUGUGGCCUCACCACUAGAACUUAAUUUGUUCUAGUGCUUAACCACCCUCAUAGUUAGAAAUUUCCCCCUACAAUCCAACCUUAAUAUUCCUUGUUGUAAUUUAAUAUCAUUAUAUCAUGCUCUAUCCCUGCUGCCAAAGAGCACAACCUAUCACCAUCCAUCAUAACCAUCCUUUAGGUGUUUGAAGACUGUUUUGAAAACCCGUCUUUUCUUCUUCAGACUAAAUAUCCCAUUUCUUCAAAAACAUAGUGCAAAGAUAAAGAGGAAAAUGUAACAGGUAAACUACAAAAUAAAAUGUAACUAUCAUAAAUACAUGCAUCUGAUUAUAGUUAUUUCCUGGCCUAGGGGAUAUAAUUUUGGAAUUGUGUUUUUAUUUUUGUUUUUAUUUUUUUAUUUUGCUCAUAUUAAACCACUGGAGAUAAUUUGAUUUGAAGCUGCAGACUGACUGACAGGCUUCUGUGUCCCUCCAAUGAUACCAAAACGUCUUUCUGAAGUGUCUUUUCAAAUAUGGUUAAUUACAUGAUGCAAA
Molecule: long non-coding RNA, 10194 nt
Organism: Alligator mississippiensis (American alligator)
Lineage: Eukaryota; Metazoa; Chordata; Crocodylia; Alligatoridae
Exons: 3
Source: RefSeq, a predicted model, not a curated record